This 1480-nucleotide long non-coding RNA is filed under the name Sus scrofa (pig). RNAcentral's name for it is "lncRNA (ENSSSCG00015005276.1)". Lineage: Eukaryota; Metazoa; Chordata; Mammalia; Artiodactyla; Suidae. The record is from RNAcentral.
AUGGAUUUCAGCUCAAUAUUAAGAAAAACAUUCCGGUUGGUGAGCUUGUCAAGAGCAGGCACCCUUCCCCGGAUGGCACGCACAAGGCACAUGCCAGUUAAUGGUGCAGCUAGACCUUGUGGAGGACCCUGUAAGGGGGACAAGCAGCAACAUAUCAAAGGCAGAUCAUGGCACCGGGCUUGGAGUCCUGCACCUCCCUUCCAGCUGCUACUCCAGAGAAGGUCCACUGUCAAGUCCAGCCAAGCCCAGACCCAGCCUUGGUUUAGGAAAUAAUCACUGAUACCACAUUGUAAUUAAUGUAGGAGCCACGUCUGAAUAUAUUAAGAUUUUGUUCCUAAAAGACUCUGAAAAGAAGACAGUAUUUUUCAACAUCUUGUGUUGAAUGGGUAUAGAGGAUGCUUCAAGAAGGGCUUUCAAGACCCAUCCCUUAAUGACAAGCCUCAAACCAGAUUUGGUCCAGUCUGCUUAGUAGCUGCAUUUGGAGGCAACGCCUCUGCCUUGCAGCCUGUGAGGUGGACACAGCACCUUGUGGGCAGGUGGUGGGGAGGCCUCAGUGAGAUGGCAGGUAGGGUACCUUGCAUCAGUCAGGGUUACAGGCAGUGCUUCGUGUGGGGCCGCCCCUCUCCCCCGGUUCCCUUCUACUCCUCCAAGCAGAUCUGCAAGAAAGUGGAUUGAAACUCAGGAUUUAGAAGGGAUUCUUCUGUAUGGAGGGUGAAGUGAAGAUUCUUCAUGACCUCUUCAGUUGUCAGCACGCGAGAUGUCAUUACAGUAUCAGUAACUAACUGCUCACAGGUGUGUGCACCACAGUGCAAAAGUUGCAUUCCCGGUUCUCAACUGAUUUAGCCUUUAUGGGAACUCUGUAAGCAGAACAGAUGGCGGGGGUAGGGGAGUCUCCUGAGGAUGAAGCGACUCAUUGAGAGUGACAAGGUGAGGUGGCAUCCACUGUGGAAAGGCCUGAGGCAGCAGCCACUUUGGGAAACUCAGGGGCAUAUGAGUCUAAAUCAAACUCUAUGCUCAGGGAGGAUGAGGAGCCUAUUAAGGUCAAGCACCUUAGGUUUCUCCCACUGUUUUUCAAAUAUGCUUUUUGAAUAAUAUGAUUGCUUUGGCUCUUGGACCAUUACGAAUCUUACAGAGACAGUCUCAGAAGACUUGGGGACUAGCUGGUGGCCAGUUCCUCAGGUGACAUAAGGUCUGAUUCUAAAGCACUACUUCUUUUUUUUUUUUAGGGCUGCACCUGAGGCAUAUGGACGUUCACAGCCACAGAAAAGCAAGGAUCCGAGCUGCAUCUGUGACCUACACCAAAGCUCAUGGCAAUGCCAGCUCUCUGACCCACUAAGCGAGGCCAGGGAUCAAACCUGCAUCCUUAUGGAUACUAGUCAGAUUCGUUUCCACUGAGCCAUGAUGGGAACUCCCUAAAGCACUAUUUCUUAACCUGGCUGCAUCUAAUAAAUAACUGGAAAGCUUAAAAAACUCUGUGACU